GACGUAGGGGACGAGCGUUGUCCGGAUUCAUUGGGCGUAAAGCGCGCGCAGGCGGUCUUUUAAGUCUGAUGUGAAAGCCCACGGCUCAACCGUGGAGGGUCAUUGGAAACUGGGGGACUUGAGUGCAGAAGAGGAGAGUGGAAUUCCACGUGUAGCGGUGAAAUGCGUAGAGAUGUGGAGGAACACCAGUGGCGAAGGCGACUCUCUGGUCUGUAACUGACGCUGAGGCGCGAAAGCGUGGGGAGCAAACAGG
Molecule: ribosomal RNA, 253 nt
Filed under: uncultured bacterium
Lineage: Bacteria
Description: partial 16S ribosomal RNA
Rfam family: Bacterial small subunit ribosomal RNA
Source: RNAcentral